RNAcentral lists this ribosomal RNA (433 nucleotides) under uncultured bacterium. Its description in RNAcentral is "partial 16S ribosomal RNA". It matches the Rfam family "Bacterial small subunit ribosomal RNA", at positions 29 to 507 of the family's 1533-position model. The record is from RNAcentral.
AACGAACGCUGGCGGCAUGCCUAACACAUGCAAGUCGAACGAGACCUUCGGGUCUAGUGGCGCACGGGUGCGUAACGCGUGGGAACCUGCCCUUAGGUUCGGAAUAACUCCCCGAGAGGGGUGCUAAUACCGGAUAAUGUCUUCGGACCAAAGAUUUAUCGCCUUUGGAUGGGCCCGCGUUGGAUUAGCUAGUUGGUAGGGUAAAAGCCUACCAAGGCGACGAUCCAUAGCUGGUCUGAGAGGAUGAUCAGCCACACUGGGACUGAGACACGGUCCAGACUCCUACGGGAAGCAGCAGUGGGGAAUAUUGGACAAUGGGCGAAAGCCUGAUCCAGCAAUGCCGCGUGAGUGAUGAAGGCCUUAGGGUUGUAAAGCUCUUUUACCCGGGAUGAUAAUGACAGUACCGGGAGAAUAAGCUCCGGCUAACUCCGUG